This 399-nucleotide ribosomal RNA is filed under the name Bacillus sp. (in: firmicutes). Its description in RNAcentral is "bacterial SSU rRNA". It matches the Rfam family "Bacterial small subunit ribosomal RNA", at positions 78 to 467 of the family's 1533-position model. The record is from RNAcentral. Lineage: Bacteria; Bacillati; Bacillota; Bacilli; Caryophanales; Bacillaceae.
GCUUGCUUCUAUGACGUUAGCGGCGGACGGGUGAGUAACACGUGGGCAACCUGCCUGUAAGACUGGGAUAACUCCGGGAAACCGGAGCUAAUACCGGAUAACAUUUUCUCUUGCAUAAGAGAAAAUUGAAAGAUGGUUUCGGCUAUCACUUACAGAUGGGCCCGCGGUGCAUUAGCUAGUUGGUGAGGUAACGGCUCACCAAGGCAACGAUGCAUAGCCGACCUGAGAGGGUGAUCGGCCACACUGGGACUGAGACACGGCCCAGACUCCUACGGGAGGCAGCAGUAGGGAAUCUUCCGCAAUGGACGAAAGUCUGACGGAACAACGCCGCGUGAAUGAUGAAGGGUUUCGGGUCGUAAAACUCUGUUGUUAGGGAAGAACAAGUACAAGAAUAACUGC